AUGAGCCAUUUCUGCCGCCGUUGCCGGGGAGGUCUACGCAAAAGUCAACAUACCAAGUACCCAUCACAUACCCUUAUCUCCCGCAUUACAUUAUUUGCCAUUUGCCUCUCGUUUUCCUCUCCCCCACUUCACCCUUGCCGUUUUAUUCGCGCCCUCUCUCUAUCCUCCAUCUCUUUCUCCAUUUGCCUCUUUUUGCCCGCUUGUUUUUUGUUUGCUUGUGUGUUAGUUUGCUUGCUUGUCACAAUGGCUCAAGAUAAUACUAAAUUGUGUGACUUCACCAAUACCAACAACAAUGAUUUUAUUAGCACUCCGAUUGCUCCUCUUACCGAUGCUGAAUCUUGUGAAAUUAUACUGCUUUGCUGA
This 363-nucleotide ribosomal RNA is filed under the name Triticum aestivum (bread wheat). Its description in RNAcentral is "partial small subunit ribosomal RNA". The record is from RNAcentral. Lineage: Eukaryota; Viridiplantae; Streptophyta; Magnoliopsida; Poales; Poaceae.